ACCUACGGGGCGCAGCAGUGAGGAAUAUUGGUCAAUGGCCGAGAGGCUGAACCAGCCAAGUCGCGUGAGGGAUGACGGCCCUACGGGUUGUAAACCUCUUUUGUCGGGGAGCAAGACCCGCCUCGUGCAGGCGGAGCGAGAGUACCCGAAGAAAAAGCAUCGGCUAACUCCGUGCCAGCAGCCGCGGUAAUACGGAGGAUCCGAGCGUUAUCCGGAUUUAUUGGGUUUAAAGGGAGCGUAGGUGGAUUGUUAAGUCAGUUGUGAAAGUUUGCGGCUCAACCGUAAAAUUGCAGUUGAAACUGUCA
RNAcentral lists this ribosomal RNA (305 nucleotides) under uncultured bacterium. RNAcentral describes it as "bacterial SSU rRNA". It matches the Rfam family "Bacterial small subunit ribosomal RNA", at positions 337 to 638 of the family's 1533-position model. The record is from RNAcentral.